CAUGUCAUCGAUGGAGUACUUCCUUUCCUACUGAUAUAUGAGUAGUUAAAAGUCAGUCAACAUCCUUCAUUAUCAAGGAAAUUGGCCCACUGUAUUGAUGUUACGAAAGCGACAACAUUAUCUUGUUGCUUUUCAUGUGCUUGUGCUUUAUUCAUCAUUAUCUUUUGACUCCUUUUCUCCCACUUCAUGGAAAGUAGAAUAUAAGCCACAGUUUCGUCAUUGUCCAUUUCACAUUAUCACCAAUUUUCACUUCCUGGCCAUUUCCACCUGUGGAGAGAAGAGUUCAAAAGAGAGAGAAUUACUUCUCUAUUGUGUUCUUCUUUCCUGUUCUUCUUCUUCAUCAUAAGUGUGGUGUGGUCCACCUGUGUAGAUGGCUUGCAUCAUUCUCCACUCCUACCAGAGGAUUUGACAGUGCUCCCUCGGCUCAAUUCACCUACAACAGAACAGGGAGAGACCUCUUUAUCAUAGAAAUCUAUUCAUGCGAUUGUAACCUCACCAAGCGUCAGAAUCAGAGGCCUCCAAGAGGGCAGAUCAGUGGGACCAGCCGGUUACAGAAUACAUUGAGGCCGCUGAAGGAUAUCUCGGGUAUCAACAGCCAGGUUCGGUGUACCGAUUCACAGAUGCUGGGAAUGGUGACAAAAGAAUGGAGUUGAUACUCAUGUGCAAUGUCUGUACUUGUCAUGGACAUUUAAGAAGCAAGGAGUAAAGUUAGAAUGGUGAUAGAGAUGCUAGCCUUCAUCUGAGAGUAACCAAACUACAACUGUAAUCCUGGAUUUUCUUAUGAAUGCAAAUAUAUGACUGAUUGUGACCCCUUUCAUCCUUGAUAGCCAUCCAUCAGUUUUAUUUAGUUUUAUGUUAACGUUUUCAACUUUCUGUGAACUUCUGUAUUUUUAAUCCUUUUUUGGCUCUUUUGAAGUUUGCAUAUAGAGUUUGUAAGUCUACAUGCAUGUAGAAGGCAGCUAGCUAUACACGCCACACUUGAUAGCAUUACAAAUUGAUAUGAGAUCCAAUCCAUCCAUCGAAGGUGUAACAUUGUAGAUGCUCUCACUCAAUAAUCAGGUCGGUCCACUUAUCAGGAAGAAGUUGUUAGCAAGAUGCAGUCAUUUGAGAGAUUGAAAGCUGAAGCUGAAAAAUGCUUAGCACAAAGUGAGAAGUUUAAAUAUGAGAAGGCAGAAUUUGAAUCUGCUGUCCAUGCAAAGUUUGUUGGGGCCUUGAAUUCCAAGAAAGUGAAAUUCCGUGAGCUCCGAGAUCAAUUUUCAAAACUCAAAACUAGUGGGAAAUUGCUGCAAAAAGAGGAAGUCCACUGACAGAACCGAGAUAUACAAUGCAGAAGCAAUGAUGUGGAAACCAAGGAACAACCUGUGAAGAAGGAUCCUUCCCGCACUUCAAAGAACACUACAACGAUGACGUCAAAGGGUCAAAAGAGAAAAAUGUGCUUGUAGCUAUUGUCCUGACUGGCAAAAGUCUCAUAACAAAAUCCAACACGGAUGUUUUUGUUUUUGUAUCAGUGUUUAUAGAGAAGUUAUUGUUACAAAUGCAAGUCAAAAUCCCAUAGGCAUUUAAGUAGAGACCUUCAAAACCCAAUAUCUCUUUUGAGUGUGGCCUAUUACUGACAAAUUUUUAAGGGACUUUGAAUGUCCUGUUUUGAGUACAAGGGAUUGGAGAGAGGGACUGUUGAACUCGACCAUCAAAUAAAAUUUUUAAAUGAUGGGAAGAUCCUAACCAUCUGUCUUGCAGUAAAAGAAGUAUCAGGGGCGUUUGGAAGGUU
Magnolia sinica is the source of this 1768-nucleotide RNA transcript. It is a transcript of the gene named DNA repair protein XRCC4-like, with no coding region annotated. The record is from RefSeq and is a predicted model, not a curated record. The transcript has 5 exons. Lineage: Eukaryota; Viridiplantae; Streptophyta; Magnoliopsida; Magnoliales; Magnoliaceae.